GAUGAAGAACGCAGCGAAAUGCGAUAAGUAAUGUGAAUUGCAGAAUUCAGUGAAUCAUCGAAUCUUUGAACGCACCUUGCGCUCCUUGGCAUCCCGAGGAGCAUGCCUGUUUGAGUGUCAUUAAAUUCUCAAGACCUGUCUGCUUUUUUGAUAGGUAUUGGAUUUUGGGGGUUGCAGGCUGUUUCAAAUAAAUAGCCUUGCUCUCCUUGAAUGUAUUAGUGGAGAAAAGCCAUUGAACUCCAUUGGUGUGAUAAAACCUAUCAAUGCCAGGAGCAAUAUCACUACUUCUCUCUGCUGUCUAACUGUGACUGUCUGUAUUAAUUAGUAUGGAUGGGGACAACUUGACCAACUUGACCUCAAAUCAGGUAGGACUACCCGCUGAACUUAAGCAUAUCAAUAAGCGGAGGA
RNAcentral lists this unclassified non-coding RNA (408 nucleotides) under soil metagenome. RNAcentral describes it as "partial contains 5.8S ribosomal RNA, internal transcribed spacer 2, and large subunit ribosomal RNA". The stretch from base 1 to 120 matches the Rfam family "5.8S ribosomal RNA", at positions 35 to 154 of the family's 154-position model. The record is from RNAcentral.